GACGAACGCUGGCGGCGCGCUUAACACAUGCAAGUCGAGCGAGAACCAGGGCUUCGGCCCUGGGGACAGCGGCGAACGGGUGAGUAACACGUGGGUAAUCUGCCCUCGGCACCGGAAUAGCCCGGGGAAACCCGGAUUAAUGCCGGAUGGCCCCUUCACCUCGCGAGGUGGCGGGAAAAGGUAGCUUCGGCCUCUGGCCGAGGAUGAGCCCGCGGCGGAUAGCUUGUUGGCGGGGUAACGGCCCACCAAGGCGACGAUCCGUAGCUGGUCUGAGAGGACGAUCAGCCACACUGGGACUGAGACACGGCCCAGACUCCUACGGGAGGCAGCAGUGGGGAAUCUUGCGCAAUGGGCGAAAGCCUGACGCAGCGACGCCGCGUGAGGGAAGAAGGCCUUCGGGUUGUAAACCUCUUUCAGGAGGGACGAAGCUACUCGGGUGAAUAGCCCAGAGGGUGACGGUACCUCCAGAAGAAGCCCCGGCUAACUACGUGCCAGCCGCCGCCGUAA
This 507-nucleotide ribosomal RNA is filed under the name uncultured bacterium. RNAcentral describes it as "partial 16S ribosomal RNA". It matches the Rfam family "Bacterial small subunit ribosomal RNA", at positions 28 to 523 of the family's 1533-position model. The record is from RNAcentral.